RNAcentral lists this ribosomal RNA (497 nucleotides) under uncultured bacterium. Its description in RNAcentral is "partial 16S ribosomal RNA". It matches the Rfam family "Bacterial small subunit ribosomal RNA", at positions 28 to 507 of the family's 1533-position model. The record is from RNAcentral.
GAUGAACGCUGGCGGCGUGCCUAAUACAUGCAAGUCGAGCGAACGGACGAGAAGCUUGCUUCUCUGAUGUUAGCGGCGGACGGGUGAGUAACACGUGGAUAACCUACCUAUAAGACUGGGAUAACUUCGGGAAACCGGAGCUAAUACCGGAUAAUAUUUUGAACCGCAUGGUUCAAAAGUGAAAGACGGUCUUGCUGUCACUUAUAGAUGGAUCCGCGCUGCAUUAGCUAGUUGGUAAGGUAACGGCUUACCAAGGCAACGAUGCGUAGCCGACCUGAGAGGGUGAUCGGCCACACUGGAACUGAGACACGGUCCAGACUCCUACGGGAGGCAGCAAUAGGGAAUCUUCCGCAAUGGGCGAAAGCCUGACGGAGCAACGCCGCGUGAGUGAUGAAGGUCUUCGGAUCGUAAAACUCUGUUAUUAGGGAAGAACAUAUGUGUAAGUAACUGUGCACAUCUUGACGGUACCUAAUCAGAAAGCCACGGCUAACUACGUG